This is a non-coding RNA of Cricetulus griseus (Chinese hamster), 5937 nucleotides long. The record is from RefSeq and is a predicted model, not a curated record. NCBI's taxonomy places the organism in Eukaryota, Metazoa, Chordata, Mammalia, Rodentia, Cricetidae.
CUCCAAGAUGCCACUGAUUUCAUUUUCGUUAGCCAUAUUCUGCUGGGCAUGCAGUAUAUUCCCUUAAAUAUAGUUUGUCUCUUCCUGGUUAGGAUGGGGCCAUGUGUCCACUUCUCCUUUCAGCUCUAAAAUCCCAUCUGGUGCAGACCCAUACAGGCCCUGGCAUGCUUCCUCAGUCUCUAUGAGUUCAUUUGUGUUUUGAUCAUGUUGAUUUAGAGAACACCAAAGGGUCUUGGUGUCCUACAUUCCCUCUGGCUCUUGCAAUCUCUUUCUGCCUCUUCUGAAGUGUUCCCUGAGACUUGAGGGAAGGGAUUUGAUGGAGACUCCAAUUCCAGCCAAGUGUUCCAGGCUUUCUCACUCUCUGAAUAAUGUGUGACUGUAGGUCUUUGUGUUUGUUCCCAUCUGCUGCAGGAAGAAGAUUCUCCAAUGAUAGCUGAGCAAGGCAUUGCUCAUGUUUGUCUUUCUGGGUAGCUAUCAGACUUUUUAAUUAUAGUAUUUUAAUUUUUUCUUUGAGAAUUUUAUUAUGGAUACAAUGUAUUCUGCUGAUGAUAUCCAUCCUCCACUCUGCCCAUCCAAAUCUUUCCAGUGCCUCCCUCUCCAAAAUUUCAUGUUUUCUUAAUUUGUUCUUGAAAAAAGGUAUGCAAAUAUGUAGGUCUUUACAUGUUAUGGUUUGCAAUAGAACACAUUUUCUUUAUCAACUUUUUAAUAAUUUGUGUACUUUGGUGUGUUUUAGUUUGUUAUUUAUUCUGUCACCUAAAUCAAUGGUAGUAUUCUUCAAAGUGCCAUAUGUGUGCCUGCAUAGAAUUCCCUAGAUGUCUUCAUAUGUGUUCCUGAAUUGAAAUUUCCUAGACAUCUCUGUUUUCUCUUUUAACUUGACACCAAAUGAAUCUCUGGGCUUUGGUAUGGAAGACGUAUUUGAAAUAAUAUCCCAAGUCAUUUCUAUUCUCAAUAAAAGUAUUACACAAUAUAUAUGGAUGCCUUAAGUUCAUUAGUUUUUAUCAUGGUCAUCGUGUCAUUGUUCAGUUUGUGAAAUAAUAUGUCAGGCAGAAGUCAUCAUGAAAGACUUUGUUGCUGUUGUUUUCUUUAAGUAGUUUGCCAUUGAGGUGAAAAAGACAACAUAAAUUGUAGUCUGUGAUAAAAUUGAAAUUAUGAAAUUUUUAUCUAUUAUGGAGUUUACCUAUUAUUAUAAAAUCUAUUAUUAUGAAAUUAACAUUGUGUAUGUUCUGAAGUUUGGGAGAGACUCUCUGUCUGCCUAUUUGAUCUGGGAUCUUUGAUCUCAGAGAGGAGCCUUGGCUGUAAUUGGGAUGUGAAUUUUUAAUAGAUGAAUUCAUCAACACCAGAAUUACACUUGCUUUCUAGGAUAGCAUAGGGACAUGAGAAGGCAAAUAGAAGAACAGUUUGGAGCUGGGGUGUUAUAUAGACAACAGUGAAUUCCCCUAAGUACCAGUCUGGUUAGAUAGCUGGAAUUCUGCUGAGGUUCUUUUCACCACUCAGCCUAUGGGGUUCCACUUAACACUGUGAGUCAUGGGGGAAGAGUUAGCAAAUGAUACACAGACUAUUGAAAUCAAUCAUAAGAUUGGAUAAAUGUCAUACAGACUUUUACUUGGAGGCAAUCUAAUUAAGAAGUAAAAGAAAUACAUUAGAUGGAGUGUCAUGUACAGCCCCAGCUGGGCAGACACAGAGGGACAUGAAGAAGGAGUCAUCCCAGAAGAUUGAUAACUGUGAAAGUUGAAGGUGUAGAAGAAAUCAGCCCUGGCCUUGGUAAUUUAGUCAUAAGAAAAUAGUGUUUUCCAUUUGUAGAAUUAGGCUGUUUCAUAGAAGAGGAUGAGUAACAGUAUAAUUCCACAGAUCACUUAGGAUACUAGUAGGAAUAAGACAUAUUUGGAAAAGCAAAAUAAACCUCAAAGUAAGCCCUUAUGUCAGUGGUUCUCAACCUUCCUAAUGCUGUGUCCCCUUAAUAGAGUUCCUAUUGUUGAGAUGACCCUCAAUUAUAAAAUUGUUUCCUUUUUAUUUCAUAACUGUAAUUUUGCUAAUGUUUGUCAAGAUAUCUGCUGUGCAGCCCCCCAAAGGCAGCACAAUCCACAGGUUGAGAAGCUUGGCUUUAAAGGGAAGAGACUGUCUUGGGCCAGGACUUGAGGCAUGCAAUAAACUUGGGACAGUUGUUACUGCAAUCUCUAUGAAAAAUUAAAAAUAUGGUAUAUUAGCCAGUAUUCAGUAAUUUUAUUUAAGUAAAAGAGACAGGAAAUAUAGCGGUAAUGUGUCUUCAUUUAUUUGGAGCCUUGUCUGUGUUUCUGUGUUCUCCUAUCUAUACUUUUUAGUAGGAAGCUCCCCCACUUCUGAAACACCAGAAUUCUAAGACUAGAAAUAAGACACUCUUAAACUCUCCUUACUCCAUCCCACAUCAAUUUCUGUUAAAGGCUUAGAGUUUGACUUUCCAGAAGUGUCCUCUGAGGGAAGGAUUGGACUUCUGUCACCUUUUCUGAAUCAGCUGCUCUUUAAGGACAGACAUACAGUCGUACAGCUUUUUUUUUUUUUUUUUUUUUUUUUUUUGUAAAGUAUAAUCCCCUGUUUUGCUCAUUUUUCUCUCAGGUUUUUGCCAUUAGUCUGUAUGAUGCUGUGUUUACUGCUCUGAAUGUGGUGGGACCUGGGAAAAUGGGGCCAAUAAACGAGAUAGACUAAAGUCUCAUGCAAUAGCCAACUUUAUUCAGAGCAUCAGACAAUUUAUACUCCGAGGCUUAAGAGUAGUCACAUGAGUGAAGUGGACAAUCACAAGGGCAAGCUGCACAUGGCAGGCAAGCCACUCAGGGCAAAAAGAUGUUCUCCAUGCAAGCAUAUAAACAAAUGCAAUAGCCGCUUAUAAUGAGUAAUCUGAAAUAAACUCACUCCUAUCCACUACACCUGGAAGGAGCAGGGAAACACAUUCCAAGAAAAAUUCUAUGUUUUUGAGGAAACUGAGAUCACAAGACUCUUGUCUUGUUUUCUCACAAUCACUCAGCAGUCUCCUCAUAUCAUAUGACUCCAUUCUUGGACUAUGUUCCCACAAUGUUUGAUACGUAGGGAUUUGUAUACAAAAGGUCCAAUUCACUUUCUUUGGCUUUCACUUCUUUGUAUUUCUUCUCAAAUAUGAUUUCCUGGUCGAUAUCCAUUUUUUAAAAUAUCACACCAUAAGAACUGACUCAGGAAACUUAGUUACUGACAGCAUUGUCACUUCAUUAGGUCUAUAGUCUUUUUUUUCUGUCCUACACUGAUUUGGGAAGGCUUGGAAUAGUAGAUUUCGAGGCUAUAGCUCUUGAGAGGGAGAUAUAGUUGCCUUGCAUGCAACCUGGAUGCUUGGCUCUGCUGUAAAUGUAUUUUUGAGGUCAUGGGGGCUGGCAUGUGGGGAAUGCCUGAUUCUUUCAGUUCGAGCACUGCUUUUGCACUAGCUGCUCCAGAUUUACACUGUCCUCUAGAUAUCAGCUAUUCCUUCAACACUGAGAGCAAGAGUGAUUAAUAAUGGUCCUCACCCCUAGGAUGUUUGUGUAUCCUUUGAUUUGCUCUAGUCUGGUGAUCUUAUGUCAUCUUGUUAUCUACUUCAUCUCCGUAGAUGGUUGCCAUGUUAUAUUCAGGAUGAUAAACAUAAGACAGAAACCAGGAAUAACAACAGUCUUUCUUUUGCCUUGGUGGUGAUGGUAAUGUUGUGUAUAUGCGUGCAUGUGGGUGUGCAGGUGUAUUUGCUUAUGUGUGCCCAUACAUGGAGGCCAGAGGUCCGCCUUAGUCUCCUUUUGACUCAGUCUGUACUGUUUUUGAAAUGGCAUUUCUCACUGAAUUCAGAGCUCAUCAUUUGGCAAGGGUCCCUAUCUCAUAGUCCGGACCUCUCUCUUCUGGGUUCCAAGUGAAUUCUGCUGUGCCUGGCUUAUGUGGGUAUCUGGUUCAACAUCAGAUCUUUAAGCCUUCAUGCACAACAGGCCAUUUACUGACAACCAUCUCCACUCUCAAGAAUAGUCUUUUGUUGUUUUUUUUUUUUUCUUUUUUGGAAAAAAGUGAACCUUUGUAACAUUUAUCUUAGAGUAAUUGUUUCACAAACCCAGAUGGUCUUUAUUUUUUUAAAUGUAUGAGUGCCCUGUCAGAAAGCAUGCCUACAGACCCAUUAUAGAUGGUUAUGAGCCACCAUGUGGUUGCUGGGAAUUGAACUCAGAACUUCUGGAUGAGCAGCCAGUGCUCAUAACCUCUGAGGCAUCUCUCCAGCCCCAAGACUCAUGCUCUUAUCUCCUUUCAGAAUCCACUCACUGCUUCAGUGUGCAAGAAGGCAGAGGAAAACAUAUUAUAGCCAUUAGAGCCAACUAGUUGCAUUUACUUAUGAAAGAUCAGGAAUGUUCUUCUGGCCUUUGCCAUUUGCCACUCCUUUGACUAAGACUAGACCAUAGAUGGCCAAUAUCGCUCUGCCUGUCUACCUUUGUGCCUGUCUGUAUGCUUGCCUGUCUGUCUGUCUGGAUCAGAGUUUCAUGUAGCCUAGUUUGUUCUGGAACUCUGCAUUCUGGGAUGAUGAUGAAUUUUCUUUUACCCUGAGCAAUGACACUACAGGCUUUUGCCAUAAUGCCUGGUGCAUAAAAUCCUGGCUUACAGAAAUAUUUAAAGAACUACUGUUUAGCUAGUCCCCUUGCAAGAAUUUCUAAUACAUUUUCUAAAUGUAUAAUGUGAUUUUCUACAAAAAUAAAAACGCUUUUCAUGUAUGACAAGCCUUCACAAAUCAGAGCUUCAGAAAGAACAAAUGAUGGUUGACAAGAGGCUCAUCACUUCUCCAGCCUCUGGACGUGUGUUUUGCCAUCUUUCAAAGAUUUCGUUACUACUGGAGGAUAUACGUUCUUGGUAUUAGCUGAGCUGACCUUUUGCUACAUAGGUGCGGGUUCAUAUUUAUGUAAAUAGGGAGACAAGGUAUCAUUGAUUUUUCAAGUUAGAAAAACGUUGGAUGCAGCAAAGAACUUUGAAUAACAAGGGAUGCUAAUGAGUUUGAUUUACAUUUCUGUUCUAAAGUAUUACUACUACAACAACUUAAGGCUUGUAAUUGUUUCCUCUGCAAUGUAAAUAUUCAGUUCCUAUUGCAUGUUCAGUAUUUGUUUCAGAGUUUAUAGUUUAUGAAAACAGAGACUGUGGUGAAUUAGUUGGUUUCAUUGAACAUUCACGGCAAAAAUGUCUUAAAAUGGUUUUUUGUAUGAUGAAUUAUCACUCUUUUAUAUGAACACUGCCAUGGUAGUUUCAAAAUAUGGGGUUUGCGUCAUCUACAGGUUCUCAGUAGACUUUGUUUGGGGUAUUUAUUUUAGCUUAUAUCUUUAUUUCCAAAUGACCUUCUUUUCCUUUCACAUAAAGUAUAAGAUCUUAAGUGAUGAAGGCUGGAUCCUAGCUUGCUUUUUCCUCUGCCUGCAGAACCUUCCUACCUGGCUUUGAACUUCUAAGAACACUGCCUAGAUGUCAUUAGUGUUCUCAGCUUGUUGCAGUCACAUGACAACCAGCAGCAGAACUGCUUGAGCAGAGAUUUAAGCCAUGGAGAGGGGUAUGGGCUCUGAAUCCUUAUCCUGCCUAUCUACAUUCACAACCUGCCGGUGCCUCAUACUCCCUGAAGGCCAGCACAGAGGCACAGAGGCACAGAGGCCAAAGGACUGGAACUGGGGUUUCAGACAGUUGGGAGCUACCAUGUGGACCUUCUGGAGCAGCAGCCAGUGCUUGAACUGCUGAGCCACUUCUACUUUUUUUCUCUACUUUUUACAAAUAGCAAUAAAAAUUCAUUGCAACUCAGUCAAGUUAUUGAAGCUUCCAAACAAUGCUACAUACAAGGGAUCUGCAUUUGUCACAGCUAGACCAUCUGCAUAUCCAGUCAUAUUGUCCUCUCUUCUUUGUUUUGAUGAAAAUACACUAUAUUUGUGACUGUAAUUAUGAAUAAAAUAAAGCCUUCUUUAAAAGUUA